RNAcentral lists this ribosomal RNA (631 nucleotides) under uncultured Terrimonas sp. RNAcentral describes it as "bacterial SSU rRNA". It matches the Rfam family "Bacterial small subunit ribosomal RNA", at positions 56 to 678 of the family's 1533-position model. The record is from RNAcentral. Lineage: Bacteria; Pseudomonadati; Bacteroidota; Chitinophagia; Chitinophagales; Chitinophagaceae.
UGCAAGUCGAGGGGCAGCAGGUCUGUAGCAAUACAGAUGCUGGCGACCGGCAAACGGGUGCGGAACACGUACAGAACCUUCCUUCGAGCGGGGAAUAGCCCAGAGAAAUUUGGAUUAAUACCCCAUAGUAUACUGAAGAGGCAUCUCUUUAGUAUUAAAGAUUUAUCACUUGAAGAUGGCUGUGCGGCUGAUUAGGUAGUUGGCGGGGUAAAGGCCCACCAAGCCUGCGAUCAGUAACUGGUGUGAGAGCACGACCAGUCACACGGGCACUGAGACACGGGCCCGACUCCUACGGGAGGCAGCAGUAAGGAAUAUUGGUCAAUGGACGAAAGUCUGAACCAGCCAUGCCGCGUGAAGGAUGAAGGUCCUCUGGAUUGUAAACUUCUUUUAUAUGGGACGAAAAAAGGGUUUUCUAACUCAACUGACGGUACCAUAUGAAUAAGCACCGGCUAACUCCGUGCCAGCAGCCGCGGUAAUACGGAGGGUGCAAGCGUUAUCCGGAUUCACUGGGUUUAAAGGGUGCGUAGGUGGGUUGGUAAGUCAGUGGUGAAAUCCCCGAGCUUAACUCGGGAACUGCCAUUGAUACUAUCAGUCUUGAAUACCGUGGAGGUCAGCAGAAUAUGUCAUGUAG